CGAGGAAGAAAAAGACCGGCAGCUUUUCCGCAUGGUUGGCUGCGAAGAUGAUAUGCUGAACGAGGUCUUUGACGAUGCUCCACCAGUGUAAUGUUUUUUUGGUUUCUUUGCAGUAAUCUGUAGAAUUUGUGGAACUUUAGAUUAAUUGAAUCUUUCCUCUUGUUUUUUUUUUCAAUCAUUAUUUAUCUAGAUCAAGAAGUGAGAUCAAUAUUGUGUGACUAAUAGGAUAGCUUCAUGAUUUUCAAUGAAUUCAUUAGUGGCUUUUCCCCUCAUGAUUUUGGUCUAUUGUUGGUUUCUCUCAGGUUCUUUUCAUUGCCGUUUAUAAGCAUAUCACUAUUCUGAUGUAGUUUAUCUGAAGUUUAAAUGUUGGCUCUUAUCUAAGAAACAUUGUUAUCUG
This 397-nucleotide long non-coding RNA is filed under the name Linum usitatissimum (flax). RNAcentral's name for it is "long non-coding RNA (LUSI_LNC001599)". Lineage: Eukaryota; Viridiplantae; Streptophyta; Magnoliopsida; Malpighiales; Linaceae. The record is from RNAcentral.